CCUUAGGCAAAUCCGGGAUCACUUACGCCGAGCACCGAGACGAGUCCUAUGAGGACGAAGUGACUGACACCACGCUUCCAGGAAAAGCCACUAAGCUUCAGCUUAAGAAAAACCGUACCGCAAACCGACACAGGUAGGCAGGGUGAGAAUCCCAAGGCGCUUGAGAGAACUCGGGUGAAGGAACUAGGCAAAAUGGCACCGUAACUUCGGGAGAAGGUGCGCCCUUUGGUGUGGUCACGUGCGUGACUGAGCAUCGAAGGGUCGCAGUAACCUGGCCGCUGCGACUGUUUAUCAAAAACACAGCACUCUGCAAACACGAAAGUGGACGUAUAGGGUGUGACGCCUGCCCGGUGCUGGAAGGUUAAUUGAUGGGGUCAGCCGCAAGGCGAAGCUCUUGAUCGAAGCCCCAGUAAACGGCGGCCGUAACAAUAACGGUCCUAAGGUAGCGAAAUUCCUUGUCGGGUAAGUUCCGACCUGCACGAAUGGCGUAACGACAGCGGCGCUGUCUCCACCCGAGACUCAGUGAAAUUGAAAUCGCUGUGAAGAUGCAGCGUUCCCGCGGCAAGACGGAAAGACCCCGUGAACCUUUACUAUAGCUUUACACUGAACGUUGAGUUCUUCUGUGUAGGAUAGGUGGGAGGCUAUGAAACCAGGACGCUAGUUCUGGUGGAGCCAUCCUUGAAAUACCACCCUGAAGUGCUUGACGUUCUAACCUAGGCCCGUAAUCCGGGUCAGGGACCGUGUAUGGUGGGUAGUUUGACUGGGGCGGUCUCCUCCCAAAGAGUAACGGAGGAGCACGAAGGUACGCUCAGCGCGGUCGGACAUCGCGCACUGUGUGCAAAGGCAUAAGCGUGCUUGACUGCGAGAUCGACGGAUCAAGCAGGUACGAAAGUAGGUCUUAGUGAUCCGGUGGUUCUGUAUGGAAGGGCCAUCGCUCAACGGAUAAAAGGUACUCCGGGGAUAACAGGCUGAUACCGCCCAAGAGUUCAUAUCGACGGCGGUGUUUGGCACCUCGAUGUCGGCUCAUCACAUCCUGGGGCUGUAGCCGGUCCCAAGGGUAUGGCUGUUCGCCAUUUAAAGUGGUACGCGAGCUGGGUUCAGAACGUCGUGAGACAGUUCGGUCCCUAUCUGUCGUGGGCGUUGGAGAUUUGAGGGGGGCUGCUCCUAGUACGAGAGGACCGGAGUGGACGUUCCGCUGGUGUUCGGGUUGUCAUGCCCAUGGCAUUGCCCGGUAGCUACGAACGGAAGUGAUAACCGCUGAAAGCAUCUAAGCGGGAAGCACGCCCCAAGAUGAGAUU
Molecule: ribosomal RNA, 1298 nt
Filed under: metagenome
Description: bacterial LSU rRNA
Rfam family: Bacterial large subunit ribosomal RNA
Source: RNAcentral